AGAGUUUGAUUCCUGGCUCAGGAUGAACGCUGGCGGCGUGCCUAAUACAUGCAAGUCGAACGCACUGUGGUUCAACUGAUUUGAAGAGCUUGCUCUGAUAUGACGAUGAACAUUGCAGUGAGUGGCGAACGGGUGAGUAACACGUGGGAAACCUACCUCUUAGCGGGGGAUAACAUCUGGAAACAGAUGCUAAUACCGCAUAACAGUAGCAACCGCAUGGUUGCUACUUGAAAGAUGGUUCUGCUAUCACUAAGAGAUGGUCCCGCGGCGCAUUAGUUAGUUGGUGAGGUAAUGGCUCACCAAGACGAUGAUGCGUAGCCGAGUUGAGAGACUGAUCGGCCACAAUGGGGACUGAGACACGGCCCAUACUCCUACGGGAGGCAGCAGUAGGGAAUCUUCCACAAUGGACGAAAAGUCUGAUGGAGCAACGCCGCGUGUGUGAUGAAGGGUUUCGGCUCGUAAAACACUGUUGUAAGAGAAGAAUAGCAUCAAGAGUAACUGCUUUGGCGUGUGACGGUGUCUUACCAGAAAGGAACGGCUAAAUACGUGCCAGCAGCCCGCGGUAAUACGUAUGUUUCCAAGCGUUAUCCGGAUUUAUUGGGGCGUAAAGCGAGCGCAGACGGUUUUUUUAAGUCUCGAAGUGAAAGCCUACAGCUUACCUGUGGGAAGUGCUUUGGAAACUGGAUGGACUUGAGUGCAGUAAAAGGAGAGUGGAAUUUUCAUGUGUGUAGCGGUGGAAAUGCGUAGAUUAUAUAUGGGAGGAACAUCAGGUGGGCGAAGCCGGCUUCUUCUGGACUGUUAAACUGACGUUGAGGCUCUCGAAAAGUUGUGGGUAGCAAACAGGAUUAGAUACCCUGGUAGU
This 862-nucleotide ribosomal RNA is filed under the name uncultured bacterium. RNAcentral's name for it is "bacterial SSU rRNA". It matches the Rfam family "Bacterial small subunit ribosomal RNA", at positions 8 to 794 of the family's 1533-position model. The record is from RNAcentral.